Molecule: ribosomal RNA, 253 nt
Filed under: uncultured bacterium
Lineage: Bacteria
Description: partial 16S ribosomal RNA
Rfam family: Bacterial small subunit ribosomal RNA
Source: RNAcentral
UACGUAGGGGGCUAGCGUUGUCCGGAAUCAUUGGGCGUAAAGAGCGUGUAGGCGGCCCGGUAAGUCCGCUGUAAAAGUCAAAGGCUCAACCUUUGAAUGUCAGUGGAUACUGCCGGGCUAGAGUCCGGAAGAGGCGAGUGGAACUCCUGGUGUAGCGGUGAAAUGCGCAGAUAUCAGGAGGAACACCAAUGGCGAAGGCAGCUCGCUGGGACGUGACUGACGCUGAGACGCGAAAGCGUGGGGAGCGAACAGG